Molecule: small nuclear RNA, 132 nt
Filed under: Erinaceus europaeus (western European hedgehog)
Lineage: Eukaryota; Metazoa; Chordata; Mammalia; Eulipotyphla; Erinaceidae
Description: U4 spliceosomal RNA
Rfam family: U4 spliceosomal RNA
About the family: U4 small nuclear RNA (U4 snRNA) is a component of the major U2-dependent spliceosome.
Source: Rfam by way of RNAcentral
AGCUUUGCGCAGUGGCAGUAUCAUAGCCAAUGAGGUUUAUCCGAGGCACAAUUAUUGCUAAUUGAAAAAUUAUUUAAUCUUUCACUUCUAUCAAUAUUUUUCUUUACUAGGCACUUUUUUUUCUCCAAAGGA